This 2014-nucleotide ribosomal RNA is filed under the name human gut metagenome. RNAcentral's name for it is "bacterial LSU rRNA". It matches the Rfam family "Bacterial large subunit ribosomal RNA", at positions 1 to 1977 of the family's 2925-position model. The record is from RNAcentral.
GAAAGUAGUUAAGGGCGCAGGGCGGAUGCCUUGGCUCACGGAGGCGACGAAGGACGUGACAAGCUGCGACAAGCCGCGGGUAGGUGCAAGUGACCGUUGAUCCGCGGAUUUCCGAAUGGGACAACCCGCCCGUCUGAAGGACGGGCACUUCCGCCUUGUGCGGAAGGGCCAACCCGGGGAACUGAAACAUCUUAGUACCCGGAGGAAAAGAAAAUAAUCCAAUGAUUCCCCCAGUAGCGGCGAGCGACCGGGGAGGAGCCCAAACCCGGCGUGUGGCGACGCACGCCGGGGGUUGUAGGACCGCGGUGUUGCACGGCAAGGGCGAGGGGAAGCGGCUGGAAAGCCGCGCCGCAGGGGGUGAUAGCCCCGUACCCGAAGCCCGCGCCGGCAUAGCGGCAUCCUGAGUAGCGCGGGACACGAGGAAUCCUGCGCGAAUCCGCCGGGACCAUCCGGCAAGGCUGAAUACUCCCGUGAGACCGAUAGUGGACGAGUACUGUGAAGGAAAGGUGAAAAGCACUUCGACGAGAAGGGUGAAAGAGAUCCUGAAACCCUGCGCCUGCAAGCGGUCGGAGCUGCCCUUGUGGCAGUGACGGCGUGCCUUUUGCAUAAUGAACCUACGAGUUGCCGUCUCCGGCAAGGCUGAGGGGCUUUAGCCCCUGCGCCGCAGUGAAAGCGAGCCUGAAGAGGGCGUUUGUCCCGUAUGGGACAAAGCGCACACCGUGCGUUUUUAGUCGGAGGUGGCAGACGCGAAACCAAGUGAUCUACACUUGGCCAGGGUGAAGUCCCGGUAACACGGGAUGGAGGCCCGCACCGAUAAGCGUUGAAAAGCUUCCGGAUGAGCCGAGUGUAGGAGUGAAAGGCCAAUCAAACUUGGAGAUAGCUCGUACUCCCCGAAAGGCAUUUAGGUGCCGCGUGCGCCGUUCCGCAUGAGAGGUAGAGCGACCGAUAGGACGCGAGGGCUUCACCGCCUAUCAAGUCCUGAUGAACUCCGAAUGCUCAUGCGCCGCAGGCGCGCAGUAAGGGGGCGGGUGCUAAGGUCCGUCCCCGAGAGGAGAAGAAUCCGGACCGCCGUCUAAGGUCCCCGAGUUCUGCCUGAGUUAGUCUAACGAAGUGCGGUCCCUGUGACAGCCAGGAUGUUGGCUUGGAAGCAGCCAUUCAUUCAAAGAGUGCGUAACAGCUCACUGGUCGAGGGUCCGUGCGUGGAUAAUAAUCGGGUAUAAGGCAGACACCGAAGACGCGGGGUAGCAUUGAAGAAAGUACCGGUAGGGGAGCAUGGCGUGCUGCGUUGAACGGAGGGGGCGACCCCUCCCGGAGCGCACGGCAAGGCAAAUGUAGGUAUAAGUAACGACAAGGAGGGUAAGAUCCCCUCCCGCCGUAAGACCAAGGUUUCCCGGGCAAUGCCAGUCAGCCCGGGGUCAGUCGGGCCCUAAGCCCCAGCCGUACGGCGAGGGGCGAUGGAAGACACGGUCAACAUUCCGUGACUGCCACAGGGAGCGACGCGCUGACGGAGCAGUGACACCACCGCGGGGCGACGGAAGCCCCCGUUGACGGGCGUAGGCGUCGAGGGCCGCAGGCAAGUCCGCGGCCCGAGCCGAACCCCCAUAGUAUGGCUCCCCCUCCGGGGGGCGCCAAUAGCGUGGGUAAUCAUACUCCCGAGAAAAUGCGCUAAGCUUCAUCCCUGCGGCACCCGUACCCCAAACGGACACACGUGGUCGGGUAGAACAUACUCAGGCGUUGGAAGACUCACGGUUAAGGAACUAGGCAAACUGACCCUGUAACUUCGGGAUAAAGGGUCCUCGCGGCUCCGCGAGGCGCAGAGAAUAGGUCCAGGCAACUGUUUAACAAAAACACAGGGCUGUGCCAACUCGAAAGAUGAUGUAUACAGCCUGACACCUGCCCGGUGCCGGAAGGUUAAGAGGAGGGGUCAUCCUCACGGUGAAGCCCUGAAUUGAAGCCCCGGUAAACGGCGGCCGUAACUAUAACGGUCCUAAGGUAGCGAAAUUCCUUGUCGGGU